Molecule: long non-coding RNA, 563 nt
Filed under: Homo sapiens (human)
Lineage: Eukaryota; Metazoa; Chordata; Mammalia; Primates; Hominidae
Description: HSALNT0309884
Source: RNAcentral
GACUGCGCCGCGGUCUCUCAGCCGCCAACACACCGCGGACGCCCGGGGACAGCGACCGCUUCCUCCCUCCCCGCCCGCCUUGUCUCUUUUUGGUCUUGCUCUGUCGCCCAGGCUGGAGUCAGUGGCACCAUCGUGGCUCACUGCGGCCUCCACCUCCGGGACUCCAGGGAUCCUCCCGCCUCAGCCUCCCGAGGAGCUGGGACCACCGCACCUGGCUAAUUUUAAAAUUUUUCCUUAGAGACAGGAUCUCACUUUGCUGCCCAGGCUGGUCUCAAACUCCUGGGCUCAAGCGACCCUCCCGCCUCGGCCUCCCAAAGUGCCACCGUGCCAAGCCUCAGUUAGGUUUUUAAUUUUAAUUUGGCAUUGUUUGAUGCUCAGACUGCUGCCGUGUCAUUUUCACACGACAGCAAGUUGGGGACAGCGAGUUGUUCUGUCCUGCGCGUGUGUCCCCUCAUGGUCUUGAGUGACCUGACCCUCUGUGGGGAGCCCUGAGCCUCCUCCCUGCUCCCGCGGCCCCAGCUCUCAGCUGAUGGAGGCUCCGGGGCGGGCUCAAGCCCCCGGCC